This 1093-nucleotide long non-coding RNA is filed under the name Chrysolophus pictus (golden pheasant). Its description in RNAcentral is "lncRNA (ENSCPIG00010009535.1)". Lineage: Eukaryota; Metazoa; Chordata; Aves; Galliformes; Phasianidae. The record is from RNAcentral.
GGUGUGGGGCGGGGCCGCGAGUGGAGCGGGACGGGAAGCGGGAGCUGCAAAAGGGUGGCACUGGGACCAGUAUGGGGAUGGAGCUGGGACCAGUAUGCGGGUGGCGUGGGGGUGGGCAGCCUGGAGGACGGCCGGGUCAUCGACACGUCGCUGAGCCGCGACCCCCUGCAGGUGGAGCUGGGCAAGAGGCAGGUGAUCCCCGGGCUGGAGCAGAGCCUGCUGGACAUGUGUGUGGGCGAGAAGCGCAGAGCCAUCACCCGGCUGCUCCCAUGGCUGUGCCUGGCGCUGCUGCCGGCGCUGCUGGGUCUCAUCGGCUUCCAUCUGUACCGCAAAGCCAGCAGCCCCAAAGCGUCCAAAAAGAAGCAAAAGGAGGAGAAGAGGAACAAAGCCAAAAAGAAAUAAAGCUCCUCUCUGCGCCUGCGGCUGCGCUGCGUGCGGCUCCCGUGCUUCGUGGGUUUGGUGCCGCGCCGAGCUGCGGGCUCAGAGCAGAGAGCAGCGCCGGGCUGUGCGUGAGCAGCAAAACGACCUGCGGGCGUCGUGGGCGCAGCUGGGCUCCUUUAUGGCACCUCCCGGCUCUGACAUUCAGCCCCCAGCCCCGCGCUGUGACCCGCAGCCCCGUGUUGUUCCGGGGGGGUGCGGGGCUGCCGGGCGUCCCGGCUGCGCUGCAGGCAGCUUCUGGGGGUGCAGCUCUUGGUGCUGACAUCCAGCAGCGCGUUGGGUUUGCUCAUCGUGUCGGGGUUCACCGUCAGCCCGUCCAGGUAGCGCCGCAGCAGCGCCCGCAGCCGCCGGUUGCUGUGGGUCAGGGCUGCCCUCUGCUGCCCCACCGCCAGCUCCUCCAGCUUCACUUUGUUGAAGCGCCGCCAGAAGCGCUCCAGCCCCACGUAGUCCUGCACGGUCUGGGGGAGAGGCGCUGGUGAGCUCCCCGGGUUCCGUCCUCCCAUCCCUCAGCUGUACGGGGACCCGCGGGCUGUGCACACCGCAGAGGGGUGGCAGCAGGGAAGGGAGGUGAUCGUCCCCCUCUGCUCUGCUUCGUGAGGCCCCAUCUGCAGGAGGUGGGAGCCCCCAGCACCAGAAAGGCAGGGAGCUGCUGGAG